ACGGAAGGCAGCAGUGGGGAAUAUUGCACAAUGGGGGAAACCCUGAUGCAGCGACGCCGCGUGAGUGAAGAAGUUAUUCGUAAUGUAAAGCUCUAUCAGCAGGGAAGAAAAUGACGGUACCUGACUAAGAAGCCCCGGCUAACUACGUGCCAGCAGCCGCGGUAAUACGUAGGGGGCAAGCGUUAUCCGGAUUUACUGGGCGUAAAGGGAGCGUAGACGGUCUGGCAAGUCUGAUGUGAAAGGCAGGGGCUCAACUCCUGGACUGCAUUGGAAACUGUCAGUCUUGAGUGUCGGAGAGGUAAGCGGAAUUCCUAGUGUAGCGGUGAAAUGCGUAGAUAUUAGGGGGAACACCAGUGGCGAAGGCGGCUUACUGGACGAUAACUGACGUUGAGGCUCGAAAGCGUGGGGAGCAAACAGGAUUAGAUACCCUGGUA
Molecule: ribosomal RNA, 434 nt
Filed under: uncultured Lachnospiraceae bacterium
Lineage: Bacteria; Bacillati; Bacillota; Clostridia; Lachnospirales; Lachnospiraceae
Description: partial 16S ribosomal RNA
Rfam family: Bacterial small subunit ribosomal RNA
Source: RNAcentral